UCAAUGCCUCCCCCGAUCCCAUCUCUUCCACCUCCAGAGCACCGCCACCUCCUGCCACGCCCCACCCCGCCUCACCGCGCACCGCCGGCCGCCGCCGCGCGCCCCUCCGGCACGCCUACCCCUACCCCAAGUGCCCCCACACCCGCGGCCUUCCACCGCCGGCGACAGUCUACCCUGACUGUGUCGCUCCCAAGCCACCCGACCCCAAAUCGCUCGGGUGUCAGCGGCGCUGGCAGCACAAGCAGCUGCCAUGAAGCUGCGCGCCACCCCCUUGCCCCCUUCACCUCCUUCCUCCCACUUGCACACAUGAGAAGGAAUUGAAUCAGAGUCGGUCCCUCAAUCUAAACCAGGAGGAGCGCCCAUUGAACAGGAUGGUGUGCAGGUCGCGGAGAGUUGCAUCGGCAAGUGUCAGCUCAUAUCUUGAAGUGCCAUGGAGCAAAGCUUGUGAGGAUGCAGGGGCCGUUGGUGGUGUUGGACUUAUCGCAGGUUGAACCACAUCUUGCUUUCCUUUUCUUUUGCCAAUCUGCUCUCUUGUCUCUCGGAGUCACAAAUUGGUCAUCCAUGCAUCUCUUCUUCUUAAUAGAUAUAUAACAUUGAUUUGAUUGGUAAUACUGAUGGCAGAUUGCUGCAAUUUAUUGAAUUUGAUCUAAUUUAUUUUGGGAUUGUUAAAUUUGUGAUUUUUUACAUACAAUCUAUGGAUACCUCAUGGAGAUCGGUCGAAGCAAACUAUUCUCAUCAGCUUCAGUAAUGUGUCUGAUGCCAUUUGGCCCAUAUGGCAGGGUUAACAUCAUCAAUGGCCUGCCCCAGUCGUCAGGAACUACCAAUGUAUCUUCCUAUUUGAUCCAAAAUGCAUAUACACAUGAUUAUGAUGGAGAUACUAUCCGAACUUGCCAUCAACAGGAUUGAGCAAUGUGGCAUAUAAGCUUUAGCUUGCUGGUUCAGAUUAUCAGUGUUAAUCUUCUGGUUGUGGCAAUUUUUCAGACUUUUUGAGAACAGAGGGUGUCAUGUGUCAGAUGAGAGAGGCAACUGAUGUGGUUCUUUAUCAUGUUGCUGCCAUCGCAACCACAUGUUAAUUAAAGUGCAGGUACUCCAGUCAGUCGGGAGCUCUAUAAAUGAGGAAAGCGGAAAGAGCCAUGGCGUGAUGGCUACAUAUUCAUCUACCUUGACAACCUUUAAGUACCAACAGUUGAAUAAUCGUAGGUUUUAUUUGGAGAACAAAAAUAUAAGAUUUAAUGCUACCCAAUAUUUGUAAUUGAAAAAGAUAGAUUGUACGUGCUUUACAUUAUAUAGGUGGUUGCCUCAAUAUGUUUCAAGCUAGAGAAUAAUAUUUGUGUAUAGUCUGAUUUUGGUCUGUCCAUAUUUCAUACCUGUAACACAUGAUGGAGGAGCACGGAGCAGUCCUAAAUAUUGGUGGAUUACAUAGAUUCUGCAACUCCCUUAAAUCCAGUGUGCACUAAACUACUCCAAUUUCCAUUUUAUGGGAGAAUUUUGAGCUAGACUCCUGCUAUCUGUAGAUUUUGUCUUCCAAGUUAUGGAUAUCACAGUGCAUGUAUUCACCAUUGUGGUGUAGCCUAAUGAUACUUUCUAACUAUAUAUACAUCAUUGGUAGUUCAUAUC
Long non-coding RNA from Triticum dicoccoides, 1617 nucleotides. RefSeq lists it as uncharacterized. Lineage: Eukaryota; Viridiplantae; Streptophyta; Magnoliopsida; Poales; Poaceae. The transcript has 6 exons. The record is from RefSeq and is a predicted model, not a curated record.